GGCUCUGUAGUGAAGUUCAUGGUGGGUUGCAAGCCCAUUGAUGUGCAUUAGCUGUGCACUGGAGUCU
This 67-nucleotide transfer RNA is filed under the name Pica pica leucoptera. Its description in RNAcentral is "tRNA-Cys". The record is from RNAcentral. RNAcentral also lists the same sequence under 2 other names. Lineage: Eukaryota; Metazoa; Chordata; Aves; Passeriformes; Corvidae.